RNAcentral lists this ribosomal RNA (1012 nucleotides) under Leptotrombidium scutellare. RNAcentral describes it as "large subunit rRNA". The stretch from base 636 to 930 matches the Rfam family "Bacterial large subunit ribosomal RNA", at positions 2072 to 2648 of the family's 2925-position model. Lineage: Eukaryota; Metazoa; Arthropoda; Arachnida; Trombidiformes; Trombiculidae. The record is from RNAcentral.
AAAUAAAAAAAAUUGAUUUUCAGUAAAUUUUAGCCUUUUAUUAAAAAGAAUAUAAUCAAUUCCUUAAGUAUAAGGAGAUUAAAAAUUAAUAAGAAUAACUUUUUCCGAAAGUUCUUGGGCAAGGGUGAAGAGUUAAAAUAUAGAAAUGAAAUACUUCAUCCUAGCAGAUAUAGUCUUUUCGAAAGAACAAAUAUCUGAUUUAAUUUCAUAUAGAAGAGGAAAUCCCUUCCAAAAGAGUUUUUAUAAAAUUCGAAAAAGAAAUUGCUAAAAGUCCUUAAGAUUCUUCAUAGAAAAUUUCCUAAAAAGAUACACUCUUUAUAUUAAAUGGUAAUAAAACAUAAUUUAAUUAUUAGUACAACAAGCCAAGACUAAUUAAUUUUUGGAAAUUAAACUAUAAAUGUCUAAUAUGAACUAGAAGAAAAGACUAUUGAAUGCUUAUCAAAGACUAUUCUAUUCAAUUAAAUAGAAGCCACCGCCAAUUGAUAUUUCUUUAAAAGGCCGAAGGAAUCUUACUUCGCGAAGGUAGCAUAAUAACUUGACUAUUUAUUGUGGUCCAGGAUGAGGGAGAGAACAAUAGUCCUCUCUAUAAUAGAUAGUAUUGAAACUUAACCUUCCCCUGAAAAUCGGGGAAAAGAUUUCUUAGACGAGAAGACCCCAGGAUCUAAUACCUUCAUAAAGGUUUAAUUGGGGAAAUUCUCAAUGAUAAGGAGAAAAAUAUUUCUAUUACUAUGAUAAUAUAACAAAGAUACCCUGGGGAUAACAGGGCAAUCCUCUAAAAGAGACCUUAUCCAUUAGGGGGAUUACUACCUCGAUGUUGGCUUACCUAUUCCUCUAGAUGAAGAAAGUUAGAGGACCAAGUCUGUUCGACUUCCAAUAGGUACAUGAGCUGAGUUCAAGUCGACAAAAGUCAGACUGGAUUCUAUCUAGAAACAAUAUUAGGAAUUCCAGUACGAAAGGACAAAAUUCCUUCUCUAAGAGAAAGGACCAAUCUUGGACUAAUAUUUAAUCAAAA